GGAGUCGGCCGGACAGUCGCUGCGAUGCCUGCAUCGUGGAGGAAAGUCCGGGCUCCGCAGGGCAGGGUGCCAGGUAACGCCUGGGCGGCGCGAGCCGACGGAAAGUGCCACAGAAAACAGACCGCCGAUGGCCGGGGCGCAAGCUCCGGAUCAGGCAAGGGUGAAAAGGUGCGGUAAGAGCGCACCGCGCGGAUGGCAACAUGCCGCGGCACGGUAAACCCCACCCGGAGCAAGGCCAAAUAGGGGUGCAUUGGUGUGGCCCGCACCGCACCCGGGUAGGCUGCACGAGGCGCGCGGUGACGCGCGUCCCAGAUGAAUGACUGUCCCCGACAGAACCCGGCUUACAGGCCGGCUCCCCCG
This 360-nucleotide RNase P RNA is filed under the name Thioalkalivibrio denitrificans. Its description in RNAcentral is "Bacterial RNase P class A". It matches the Rfam family "Bacterial RNase P class A". Rfam says of the family: Ribonuclease P (RNase P) is a ubiquitous endoribonuclease, found in archaea, bacteria and eukarya as well as chloroplasts and mitochondria. Its best characterised activity is the generation of mature 5'-ends of tRNAs by cleaving the 5'-leader elements of precursor-tRNAs. Cellular RNase Ps are ribonucleoproteins. Lineage: Bacteria; Pseudomonadati; Pseudomonadota; Gammaproteobacteria; Chromatiales; Ectothiorhodospiraceae. The record is from Rfam by way of RNAcentral.